CAGGUGCUGGUGCGUAUGGUGAAGGGGUUGAAUGUUGGCUUGGUGGUGGUGGUGCUGAUACGGGAGUUGUACACUCUGGUGGGGGUGGAGGAGGAGGUAUAGGAUGACAUGACUCCUUGGGUGGUGGAUGAAACUCUACUGGUGGAGGUGGAGAUUGAGUCCCCGCAUGCUCAUGAGAUGGUGGUGGAGGUGGACUUGCUUGCUGCCCUCUUGACGGAUAAGGAGGUGGAAAAUACUGAACUUGAGGUGGCGGCGGUGGAGGCGAUGAAUGACUAGGCGUGGGAACAUAAUGAACAGAUGGGGGAGGAGGAGGUGCAUAAUGGGUACUUGGUGAUAUACUCUUUGUUGGCGGUGGCGGCGAAGGUGUGUUGUAGUAAUGGUUUGGUGAUUGUGGUGGUGGUGGUGGAUUAUUAUAGUAAUGGCCUGAUGGAGUUGGAGGUGGUUGCUCCAUUGGUGGUGAGGGUGGUGUAUUGUGGUAAUGGCUUGAUGGUGGAGCGUUGGAGUAACGGUUUGGUGGUGGUGGUGCACUAUAGUAAUGGCCUGAUGGGGCUGGUGCAGGUGGUUGUACCAUUGGUGGUGGAGGUGGAGAUUGUAUGGGCUCGUAGUGAACAGGCGGAGGUGGCGGUGGAAGAUGCGUCUUUGGUGACACUCUUUGAGUCGGAG
RNAcentral lists this long non-coding RNA (663 nucleotides) under Gossypium barbadense (sea-island cotton). RNAcentral's name for it is "long non-coding RNA (GBAR_LNC004819)". The record is from RNAcentral. Lineage: Eukaryota; Viridiplantae; Streptophyta; Magnoliopsida; Malvales; Malvaceae.